RNAcentral lists this ribosomal RNA (253 nucleotides) under uncultured bacterium. RNAcentral describes it as "partial 16S ribosomal RNA". It matches the Rfam family "Bacterial small subunit ribosomal RNA", at positions 524 to 776 of the family's 1533-position model. The record is from RNAcentral.
UACGGGGGGGGCAAGCGUUGUUCGGAAUUACUGGGCGUAAAGGGCUCGUAGGCGGCCAACUAAGUCGGACGUGAAAUCCCCAGGCUCAACCUGGGAACUGCGUCUGAUACUGGAUGGCUUGAAUCCGGGAGAGGGAUGCAGAAUUCCAGGUGUAGCGGUGAAAUGCGUAGAUAUCAGGAGGAACACCGAUGGCGAAGGCAGCUCGCUGGGACGGUACUGACGCUGAGGCGCGAAAGCGUGGGGAGCAAACAGG